Molecule: ribosomal RNA, 435 nt
Filed under: uncultured bacterium
Lineage: Bacteria
Description: partial 16S ribosomal RNA
Rfam family: Bacterial small subunit ribosomal RNA
Source: RNAcentral
AGCGAACGCUGGCGGCAGGCUUAACACAUGCAAGUCGAGCGGGCAUCUUCGGAUGUCAGCGGCAGACGGGUGAGUAACACGGGGGAACGUACCCUUCUGUUCUGAACAACUCUGUGAAACUGGAGCUAAUACCGGAUACGCCCUUAUGGGGAAAGGUUUACUGCCGAAGGAUCGGCCCGCGUCUGAUUAGGUAGUUGGUGGGGUUACGGCCUACCAAGGCGACGAUCAGUAGCUGGUCUGAGAGGAUGAUCAGCCACACUGGGACUAAGACACGGCCCAGAAUCCUACGGGAGGCAGCAGUGGAGAAUAUUGGACAAUGGGCGCAAGCCUGAUCCAGCCAUGCCGCGUGAGUGAUGAAGGCCUUAGGGUUGUAAAGCUCUUUUGUCCGGGACGAUAAUGACGGUACCGGAAGAAUAAGCCCCGGCUAACUUCGUG